Molecule: RNA transcript, 4118 nt
Organism: Galeopterus variegatus (Sunda flying lemur)
Lineage: Eukaryota; Metazoa; Chordata; Mammalia; Dermoptera; Cynocephalidae
Gene: RDX
Gene name: radixin
Exons: 12
Source: RefSeq, a predicted model, not a curated record
UUUUUAGGUGGUGAAAACAGUUGGUUUGCGUGAGGUUUGGUUUUUUGGGCUGCAGUAUGUAGACAGCAAAGGUUAUUCCACGUGGCUUAAACUAAAUAAAAAGGUGACCCAGCAAGAUGUUAAAAAAGAGAAUCCCUUACAGUUCAAGUUUAGAGCAAAAUUCUUUCCUGAAGAUGUUUCUGAGGAGUUAAUUCAAGAAAUUACCCAGAGACUUUUCUUCUUACAAGUUAAAGAAGCCAUCUUAAAUGAUGAGAUCUAUUGCCCACCAGAAACUGCAGUUCUUUUGGCUUCCUAUGCUGUCCAAGCCAAGUAUGGAGACUAUAAUAAAGAGAUUCAUAAAACGGGCUACCUGGCUAAUGAUAGACUCCUACCCCAGCGUGUUUUGGAACAACACAAACUGACAAAAGAACAGUGGGAAGAAAGAAUACAGAACUGGCAUGAAGAACACAGAGGAAUGCUAAGGGAAGAUUCUAUGAUGGAAUACCUGAAGAUUGCACAAGAUCUAGAAAUGUAUGGAGUCAACUAUUUUGAAAUAAAAAAUAAAAAGGGAACUGAAUUGUGGCUAGGUGUUGAUGCUUUGGGCCUGAAUAUUUAUGAGCAUGAUGACAAGUUAACACCUAAAAUUGGUUUUCCCUGGAGUGAAAUCAGAAAUAUUUCAUUUAAUGACAAAAAAUUUGUUAUAAAACCAAUCGACAAAAAGGCCCCCGAUUUUGUUUUUUAUGCACCUCGUCUGAGAAUCAAUAAACGGAUUUUGGCUUUAUGUAUGGGAAACCAUGAACUAUACAUGCGAAGAAGGAAGCCUGAUACUAUUGAAGUACAACAGAUGAAGGCUCAGGCAAGGGAGGAGAAACAUCAGAAGCAGUUGGAAAGGGCACAAUUAGAGAAUGAAAAGAAGAAAAGAGAAAUAGCAGAAAAAGAAAAGGAAAGAAUAGAACGUGAAAAGGAAGAGCUAAUGGAACGUCUAAGGCAGAUUGAAGAACAGACAAUGAAAGCUCAGAAAGAACUGGAAGAACAGACUCGAAAAGCUCUAGAACUGGAUCAGGAACGAAAACGAGCAAAAGAAGAAGCAGAACGGCUUGAAAAGGAGCGUCGAGCUGCUGAAGAGGCCAAGUCUGCUAUAGCAAAACAAGCUGCUGACCAGAUGAAGAAUCAGGAACAGCUAGCAGCAGAACUCGCCGAAUUCACUGCCAAGAUUGCACUUCUAGAAGAAGCCAAGAAGAAAAAGGAAGAGGAAGCUACUGAGUGGCAACACAAAGCUUUUGCAGCCCAGGAAGACUUGGAAAAGACCAAAGAAGAGUUAAAAACUGUGAUGUCUGCCCCCCCUCCACCUCCUCCACCACCAGUCAUUCCUCCAACAGAAAAUGAACAUGAUGAACACGAUGAGAAUAAUGCUGAGGCUAGUGCCGAAUUAUCAAAUGAAGGGGUAAUGAACCAUAGAAGUGAGGAAGAGCGUGUAACAGAAACACAGAAAAAUGAGCGUGUUAAGAAGCAACUUCAGGCAUUAAGUUCGGAGUUAGCCCAAGCCAGAGAUGAAACCAAGAAAACACAAAAUGAUGUUCUUCAUGCUGAGAAUGUUAAAGCAGGCCGUGAUAAGUACAAGACUCUGCGACAAAUUCGACAAGGCAAUACAAAGCAGCGUAUUGAUGAGUUUGAAGCAAUGUGAGAGCUGUUAUUUUGCAUACGUGUUCUUCAUAAGCUGAACCACCAACAGAGAAAAGCAGGCCUAUGCAGAUGUGAUGGAAUGCAUCCCACCUUGCCAAAGCACUUAUACCAGUUUGACUGUGGUGGCUAAAAGACAAAUUUAAGGGGAGCUCUUCAACAUUAAGGCAGUGUAAUGUCAUGCUUGAUUUUCUUUUUCUUUUGGGCGAGGGUAUGGAGAAUGGUGUUCCAUCACCUCUUUUCACUUUUUUCAUUUUUCAUUUUUUUUUUUUCUGUUGAAGAUUAACACUAAUUAUGUUUGACAAAUGCGUAUGUGUGGUCUGAGCACUUUGUAAAUUUUAAAGGAUAAUGGUGAACGUUUUGAGUGUUUAGAUAGAGCAUUCUGUUUUCUCUUGCCCCUUCCAUAUUUAACCUGCUUAUAUUUCCACAUUCUGUCUCACUCACAUUUCUAUGUGCCCUUCUCAUAUCCUGCCAUGCCUAUAGCAUAAUUCUGCCACCAUACAGAUCAGGCAGUAUUUCAAAUGGUAGUAGGUAGCAGGGUGGACACUCUCUGUGCAUUGUGUAGAAGAUGGCUAUGAAUCAUGAAAAGGAUUAGAAUGUUUAAUAGUGUAGUGUGCAGCUGAUGGAUAAUUUUUCUUAAUUCCAGUUAAUUACAUUUUUGGGUAUUGGUUAUUUGCUUACUUAAUUAUGGUCAUCUUUGACAACUGAAUUGAUUGGUUUUUCAUCUUCUAUAAUCUUCUGAUGGUUUUCUUUGCCGGCCAGUUCACAGAGGUGUACACAGCAGGUAGUAAGUAGUUCCCUAGGCGAGUUUAUUGAUGAAACACUACCUGCAAAUAAGUUGUCUCUGAAAGAUUUGAAAAGUCUUGUUCUUUUGUAGAUUGGUUUAAAAAAAUAGAUAUCUAAUAAAAGAAAAUAAACAUUUGUUGGUAAUUAUAAUCAUUAAAAAAACAAAACAAAACCGGGAUCUUUGUGGAAGGGCAGCAUAUGAAAACAUCAGUCCUAAAAAGGGGACAGUAAUACUACCUCAUUACUACACCUGCGAUAACUGGUUGGUCAAACACAAUGGAGUGUGUAAGCUAUAUGUUUUAUAAUACAUAGUGAUAGUCUCAAUCAUGAAGGGAUACUCUUGAAAUUUCAUUUUCCUUCAGAAUAUCUUAGAGUGCUAAAUAUUUAACUGCCUUUUUGUUGAGUUGAACUGUGGGAUUCUAAUUUGUAUUAAAAUUGUAAGCUCUCAUUGGUAUACUAAGGGUGUUUUAUGUCUGAGGAAGUGUGUGUGUGUGUGCGUGCGUGCGCGUGUGUGUGUGUGAGAGAGAGAGAGAAACAGAAAGAGAUGUUACCCUUGUAGAAUAUGAAGAAUGUCUGUACAUUCAUUUCUUGAUAUGAUGGUUACAUAAUCAUUUUAGCAUAUUUGGUUUCUAAAUCACUGUGCUUAUUUUUUUUUCAAUCUCUAAAAAAUACUUAAUUUGGUUUGUUCAUCCUAUCUUAGACAUUAUAAUAUUAGGGUUAUAUUAAUUUCAGUUGUUUUACCGAAGAAUCUUCCCAGUAAGAAAGAUGUUCUAAUAUUAUAUAUUCUAAUAUUUUCUUUAUUGUAAAACACCUAGAUUUGAAGAUACAGAAAAGCCUUGUUUUCUCUGUGUGGUUCAGCUACUUUCCAUUUGGUAUUACGCACUCAAAUUUACAUUUGUCAAUUAAAAUUGCCAUUUUAUUAAACAUUUUUCAUGCACAGUAGAUUCAAAUUGUGUCUGAAAAUAUCUCUUGUGCUUUUUUGAUUUUGCUGACUUUAAAAGGAUUAAUCUGGGCAGACAUUACAAAAAGGAAAAGUUGUGUUUAAUAUAUUUUUUGGACUUUGUAGGAUAAAAGAUAACUGGUUAACCUUGAAGUAACUGUUGUACAGUGGUUGUGCACAUGGCUCAAAAUCCUAUGGAAGAGAAUAUUUCUACUUGCAGUACAUCAGAGGAAUAAGUGGUGGACCCUAUGAUUCAAGCUUUGAAACAGAAGUGUUCAUAUUUCUAAAGUAUUAAAUUGCCGUAAUAGGUGAAAACCUGGACUUCUACUGGAUUUUUAUUAAUUUUACUCAUUUUGAAUUGUGUGCACUACCAUUGUUACAUCAGUUUGAUACAGUGUUGAAAAUUACCAGUUAUAUUUGCUGUUUAUAAUCUAUUUGUAGAUUAGGAUUAAAAUGGAUUUAAUCCAUUUUUAAAACGGUGUGAAUUUUUCUAAACAGGAACAACCAUUUACAAUAUGGUUCUCAUAGUGAUUAAACCAAUUAUAACUUUUAUCAUUAGCAGUUGAGAGCACAUGUUCAUAUAGCAAUGUAAAAAUACACUAAUGAAUAUUUGGUAAAUUCCAAUAGACUUUUUACCAUUAGCGUAAUUUUGUGUUGUACAAUUAAGUUACAAUUACAUCUCUAAUUUUGGAUAAUAUUCAUUGGUUAACAAUAAAGUGAUGAAAGAUCAUGC